This 501-nucleotide ribosomal RNA is filed under the name uncultured bacterium. Its description in RNAcentral is "partial 16S ribosomal RNA". It matches the Rfam family "Bacterial small subunit ribosomal RNA", at positions 29 to 523 of the family's 1533-position model. The record is from RNAcentral.
AUUGAACGCUGGCGGCAUGCCUUACACAUGCAAGUCGAACGGCAGCACGGGUGCUUGCACCUGGUGGCGAGUGGCGAACGGGUGAGUAAUACAUCGGAACGUACCUUAUCGUGGGGGAUAGCGCAGCGAAAGCUGUGCUAAUACCGCAUACGCCCUGAGGGGGAAAGCGGGGGAUCGCAAGACCUCGCGCGAUUAGAGCGGCCGAUGCCUGAUUAGCUUGUUGGUGGGGUAAAAGCCCACCAAGGCGACGAUCAGUAGCUGGUCUGAGAGGACGAUCAGCCACACUGGGACUGAGACACGGCGCAGACGGCUAGGGGAGGCAGCAGUGGGGAAUUUUGGACAAUGGGGGCAACCCUGAUCCAGCAAUGCCGCGUGAGUGAAGAAGGCCUUGGGGUUGUAAAGCUCUUUUGUCAGGGAAGAAACACCGGCUUUAACACAGUCGGGGAAUGACGGUACCUGAAGAAUAAGCACCGGCUAACUACGUGCCAGCAGCCGCCGUAA